This 121-nucleotide non-coding RNA is filed under the name Bos grunniens (domestic yak). The record is from RNAcentral. Lineage: Eukaryota; Metazoa; Chordata; Mammalia; Artiodactyla; Bovidae.
GUGUUGUAUGAAAGGAGAGAAGGUUAGCACUCCCUUGACAAGGAUGGAAGAGACUCUCGGCCUGACAACAGGCAUACGGUUAGGCAUUGCCACCUACUGUGGCAUCUAACCACUGUUUUAA